RNAcentral lists this ribosomal RNA (773 nucleotides) under Meioneta rurestris. RNAcentral's name for it is "bacterial SSU rRNA". It matches the Rfam family "Eukaryotic small subunit ribosomal RNA", at positions 993 to 1784 of the family's 1831-position model. Lineage: Eukaryota; Metazoa; Arthropoda; Arachnida; Araneae; Linyphiidae. The record is from RNAcentral.
GAGGUUCGAAGGCGAUCAGAUACCGCCCUAGUUCUAACCAUAAACGAUGCCAGCCAGCGAUCCGGCUGCGUUCCUCAAAUGACGCGCCGGGCAGCUUCCGGGAAACCAAAGCUUUUGGGUUCCGGGGGAAGUAUGGUUGCAAAGCUGAAACUUAAAGGAAUUGACGGAGGGCUACCACCAGAGGUGGAACUUGCGGUUCAAUUUGACUCAACACAGCGAACCCUACCAGGUCAGGACACAGGAAGGAUUGACAGAUUAAGAGCUCUUUCUUGAUUUUGUGGGUAGUGGUGCAUGGCCGCUCUUGGUUCGUGAAGUGAUUUGUCUGGUUAAUUCCGUUAACGGACGAGGCUCUAGCCUGCUAAAUAGGCGCUCGGAUCAAUUAGUCCGGCGACUCUUCUUAGAGGGACUGGCGGCGUUCAGCCGCAGGAGGUUGAGCAAUAGCAGGUCUGUAAUGCCCUUAGAUGUCCUGGGCCACACGCGUGUUACAUUGAAGGAAUCAGCGUGUGCUCUCCCUGUCCGACAGGACCGGGGAACCCGUUGAACCUCCUUCGUGCUAGGGAUUGGGAUUUUCAACUGUCUCCCAUGAACGAGGAACCUCUAGUAAGUGCGAGUCAUCAUCUCGCGUUGAUUAGGUCCCUGGCCCUUGUCCACACCGCCCGUCGCUAUUACCGAUUGAAUGUCUUAGUGAGGACUUCGGAUUGGCUGUCGAUUUGGCUUUAGGGUCGAGGCGGCGUGCCGAAAAGAUGUCCGAACUUGGUCAUUUAGAGGAAAUA